UAUCUUUGCAUCCGCAUUGGUUCGGAUCAUGAUGUAUCAUUAUGGCCGAUUAAAAGGGAAGCCGGUGAAAAUCCGGAGCAGACCCGCUACUGUAAGUCCUAUGCAACGUUGCGGCACACAAAGCCAUUGACACUGCCACUAUGAAUCAUGGUGUUGAGAAGGCCAACCGCAACGGGGACAAGCCAGGAGACCUGCCAUGCCAAUAUUAUUUCA
Molecule: non-coding RNA, 213 nt
Filed under: Parabacteroides sp.
Lineage: Bacteria; Pseudomonadati; Bacteroidota; Bacteroidia; Bacteroidales; Tannerellaceae
Source: RNAcentral